UCCUACGGGGGGCAGCAGUGGGGGAUAUUGCCCAAUGGGGGGAACCCUGAUGCAGCGACGCCGCGUGGGUGAAGAAGCGCCUCGGCGCGUAAAGCCCCGUCAGCAGGGAAGAAAAUGACGGUACCUGAAGAAGAAGCCCCGGCUAACUACGUGCCAGCAGCCGCGGUAAUACGUAGGGGGCAAGCGUUAUCCGGAUUUACUGGGUGUAAAGGGGGCGCAGACGGCGAUGCAAGCCAGGAGUGAAAGCCCGGGGCCCAACCCCGGGACUGCUCUUGGAACUGCGUGGCUGGAGUGCAGGAGGGGCA
This 305-nucleotide ribosomal RNA is filed under the name uncultured bacterium. RNAcentral's name for it is "partial 16S ribosomal RNA". It matches the Rfam family "Bacterial small subunit ribosomal RNA", at positions 337 to 659 of the family's 1533-position model. The record is from RNAcentral.